AGAGUUUGUAUCCUGGCUCAGGACGAACGCUGGCGGCGUGCUUAACACAUGCAAGUCGAGCGGUAAGGCCCUUCGGGGUACACGAGCGGCGAACGGGUGAGUAACACGUGAGCAACCUGCCCCUGACUCUGGGAUAAGCGGUGGAAACGCCGUCUAAUACCGGAUACGACCGCCACCUCAUGGUGGAGGGUGGAAAGUUUUCGGUCAGGGAUGGGCUCGCGGCCUAUCAGCUUGUUGUGGGGUAACGGCCUACCAAGGCGAUUACGGGUAGCCGGCCUGAGAGGGCGACCGGCCACACUGGGACUGAGACACGGCCCAGACUCCUGCGGGAGGCAGCAGUGGGGAAUAUUGCGCAAUGGGCGAAAGCCUGACGCAGCGACGCCGCGUGGGGGAUGACGGCCUUCGGGUUGUAAACCUCUUUUACCACCAACGCAGGCUUCCAGUUCUCUGGGGGUUGACGGUAGGUGGGGAAUAAGGACUGGCUAACUACGUG
RNAcentral lists this ribosomal RNA (493 nucleotides) under uncultured Nocardiopsis sp. RNAcentral describes it as "bacterial SSU rRNA". It matches the Rfam family "Bacterial small subunit ribosomal RNA", at positions 8 to 507 of the family's 1533-position model. The record is from RNAcentral. Lineage: Bacteria; Bacillati; Actinomycetota; Actinomycetes; Streptosporangiales; Nocardiopsidaceae.